AGAGUUUGAUCAUGGCUCAGAACGAACGCUGGCGGCGCGUUUUAAGCAUGCAAGUCGAGCGGCAAGGGCCUUCGGGCCCCUAGAGCGGCGGACGGGUGAGUAACACGUGGACAAUCUGCCCCCCGGUCGGGGAUAGCCCAUGGAAACAUGGGGUAAUACCGGAUGCGACCGGCCGCGCACAAGCGCGGGCGAGGAAAGGCGCCAAGGCGCCGCCGGGGGAUGAGUCCGCGGUCCAUUAGCUAGUUGGCGGGGUAACGGCCCACCAAGGCGACGAUGGAUAGCCGGCCUGAGAGGGCGAUCGGCCACAUUGGGACUGAGACGCGGCCCAGACUCCUACGGGAGGCAGCAGCUAAGAAUCUUCCGCAAUGGACGCAAGUCUGACGGAGCGACGCCGCGUGAACGAUGAAGGCCGUGAGGUUGUAAAGUUCUUUUCCGGGGGGGGAAUAAGGAUGGCAGGGAAUGGCCGUCCGAUGACGUGAACCCGGGAAUAAGCCCCGGCUAACUACGUGCCAGCAGCCGCGGUAACACGUAGGGGGCGAGCGUUGUUCGGAAUCAUUGGGCGUAAAGGGUGCGCAGGCGGCAUGCCAAGUCUGGUGUGAAAUACCCCGGCUCAACCGGGGAGACGCGCUGGAAACUGGCGUGCUUGAGUACAGGAGGGGGAGCUGGAAUUCCAGGUGUAGGGGUGAAAUCUGUAGAUAUCUGGAAGAACACCGGUGGCGAAGGCGAGCUCCUGGCCAUGUACUGACGCUGAGGCACGAAGGCGUGGGGAGCAAACAGGUUUAGAUACCCUGGUAGUCCACGCAGUAAACGAUGUACACUAGGUGGUGGGCGGUAGCGCUCAGUACCGAAGCAAACGCAUUAAGUGUACCGCCUGGGGAGUAUGCUCGCAAGGGUGAAACUCAAAGGAAUUGACGGGGGCCCGCACAAGCGGUGGAGCAUGUGGUUUAAUUCGAUGAU
RNAcentral lists this ribosomal RNA (957 nucleotides) under uncultured Spirochaeta sp. Its description in RNAcentral is "bacterial SSU rRNA". It matches the Rfam family "Bacterial small subunit ribosomal RNA", at positions 8 to 958 of the family's 1533-position model. Lineage: Bacteria; Pseudomonadati; Spirochaetota; Spirochaetia; Spirochaetales; Spirochaetaceae. The record is from RNAcentral.